UUUAUAUGAAGCAUGUUAAUCUGUAUAACAUGUGAAAGGUACUGUGAGAAUGAAAUUAAAUAGUACCUCAGCUUUAUUCUAAAAUUUUACAAUGGCAAUAAUGUAUAAAUCCAAACCAUUAAACCAGAAUAUGAUCUUGUCUGGUGCUCAUCUAAUGUAUAUUGUAUACAAACCUUUGGGUAAGCGUUGAUUAUUAAUAUUAAAGUUAUUAUUAGACGUUUGGUGAUGAAAUGCUGUGCAAAACCCCUUUAAAUUUGGUCGUUCUUUUGUUCUAACACCAGAGGGCAUUUACCAAAAGACGGCUUAUAUAACUCGGGUUUGGAGUUAAUCAGCCUAUAGCGAAAAUUAAUUGUAUCAGGUUUUACAUUUUGUGUUGUAUAGUUUGAACUGCAUAGGAAAAUAUACGGACUAUAAAUGAUGUGGGAAGUAAGGGACUGAGAGCUUGUCACUGUGUAAACUAUCAAUACAAAUACUUUUGCAUCUGAA
Sinocyclocheilus grahami is the source of this 486-nucleotide long non-coding RNA. RefSeq lists it as uncharacterized. NCBI's taxonomy places the organism in Eukaryota, Metazoa, Chordata, Actinopteri, Cypriniformes, Cyprinidae. The transcript is spliced from 2 exons. The record is from RefSeq and is a predicted model, not a curated record.